RNAcentral lists this transfer RNA (85 nucleotides) under Felis catus (domestic cat). It matches the Rfam family "tRNA". Rfam says of the family: Transfer RNA (tRNA) molecules are approximately 80 nucleotides in length. Lineage: Eukaryota; Metazoa; Chordata; Mammalia; Carnivora; Felidae. The record is from Rfam by way of RNAcentral.
GCCUGGGUGGCUCAGUCGGUUGGGCAUCUGACUUCGGCUCAGGUCAUGAUCUCACAGUUUGUGAGUUCGAGCCCCAUGUCAGGCU